AAGAAGGAUCAAAUCAAUCAUCAAAAGAUUUUCUCUAUAAGGAAGCUAGUAUCUUGGAGAGAUAGAUAAGUCUUAGAUCAGAUCGAAUCUCGUGUAGAUACCUGUAGAGGUCAGACGUUUGCGCAGCUCAGGAACCUAUCAAGUUUUUGAUCAUCGGCUGCGAAGCUCUUCCACCCACGAUAAGGUAUGAGAUCUGAUCUCAUAAAUUAAUUUUAGAUUUCAUAUAUCUUAGAUCCAUAUUAGGGAAGGUUUUAUAUCUAAUUUAAUGCAUGAUAAAAAUAGUUAAUCUAUUUUAUUCCACUACGAUUUCAAAACAGUUUUGAAAUACAUGCAUGUAAUCUGCCCUUCCCUUUCUAAUAGUGGUAUCAGAGCCAUGAUUUCAAUUAGACAUAUUUAAUCUGAUUUUAAUCUUAGAUCUAAAAGUUAGUUUCUAAUUUAAAUAAUUUAUUUUAGUUUUAUUCAGAUCUGAGAUUAUUAAAUCAUGUAUGAGAUGCAUAGAUCUGUAUUCCUUAUGCGUAGUAUUCAGAUUGGAUUGAUCUCUAUGGUCAUUCGAUCAUAAGAGACAUAUUU
Molecule: long non-coding RNA, 570 nt
Filed under: Elaeis guineensis (African oil palm)
Lineage: Eukaryota; Viridiplantae; Streptophyta; Magnoliopsida; Arecales; Arecaceae
Description: long non-coding RNA (EGUI_LNC072174)
Source: RNAcentral